Pyrus x bretschneideri (Chinese white pear) is the source of this 959-nucleotide long non-coding RNA. RefSeq lists it as uncharacterized. The transcript is spliced from 2 exons. The record is from RefSeq and is a predicted model, not a curated record. NCBI's taxonomy places the organism in Eukaryota, Viridiplantae, Streptophyta, Magnoliopsida, Rosales, Rosaceae.
GAGAAAGUAAAGAAGAGAGAUGCGGAAGAAAUUACUAGUGAGCCAGACAAGAGAGAAAAGAGAAAUACACAUUAUCAGCAUGAGAAGCUCUCAUGUUGGUGGAAAGCACAACGCCAAAAUCCGGUGAAGCAUUACCUACCUCUCACCUCUAUCAGCUGGAAUCUCACAGAUAAGAAAAUCUUUUCAUUUCAUCUUCAUAUCUCUUUAUGGCUAAUUUUCUUAAAGUAAAUAUACAUUUGGUUAUAUAACCAUUAUCAUUAUUAUUGACAGAAAAAUCUAACAGCCACUCUGAAUUCCAACUUGCUGACCUCGAAUUGAGAUACUUCCUUCUUGAAAGUUGUUCGUCCUCCCAGUACCUAUAACAUAUGUGUUUCUAUUAUUGCAGAUGUUUGAAACACUAACCCAGUUUCCAAUUCCGCAGAAAACUGGACAACCAUCUUAUGAGUACCAAAACUCCUUUUUCAAUAGUUCAGAUCGAAAUUGUUUCUUCGCAAAAGUUGUUCAGUAUCCUUCUAUCCAUAUCAUAUUAAAAUUUGAGCCAAAUCUCACGAUUUGAUCUUCUCAUAAGUUGCAGGCACUACUCUUGACUCCAAAACUUAUAGGAACUGUUUUUAUUUUUUCGAAAUUCAUCAGAGGAGGAACACCAAUGAAGACUUAUUGUUACUAUUACUUCCUGAGUAACUAAAAGGACUUAGAGUUGUGAAAAUAAAAAAAAUAAAAGGGACGAACCAAAAGAAAGUGGAAGACAAAGAAAAAGAAAAAGAUGGGGACUUAAUCAUUGCCUUUUUUGUUUUGCCAUAUUUAUGUGAAUGGUGCUGCUUUAAAGUCCUAUCACAAGUUCUAUUUAUUUACAGUGGGUGAAAUUAUUACCCCUUGCUUUAAAGCUUUGAUAUUUAUGUCAAUGGUGAUGAAUUAAAACCCUUGUCACAAGCUUUAUUUACUUAAAAAUAAUUUAUUUA